Long non-coding RNA from Hyposmocoma kahamanoa, 551 nucleotides. RefSeq lists it as uncharacterized. The transcript is spliced from 3 exons. Lineage: Eukaryota; Metazoa; Arthropoda; Insecta; Lepidoptera; Cosmopterigidae. The record is from RefSeq and is a predicted model, not a curated record.
ACAUAUGUUUAUAAAAAGUUUUAGUACCACACUGAAUACAAAAACCCUAUGCAUAUGACAUCAUUGUUAAAUUAGAAAAUUUGAUUACAUUUUUUAAACAUCGUGACUAAAAUGUAAUUUUAAUGCCCGUCCGUUUUCUUCCGCGAAUAAAAACUUGCUGUUUCUUUAUCAAGGAUUUGAAAUGGGCAGCAAUAUUGAUUGCUCUGUUUGGACUGGUAGAAGGUACAAUAACUGUGGUUAUAUUUAUAGAAGCAUGUAACACAUUGUACACAGCCAGUGGGCAUCUUGGCAUCACCAUGUUGGUAUGGAUUGGCUGUACGACGACAUUCGGAAUCUUUUUAAUUAUCGGCGCGUUGUGCUUUUUUGUACAAAUAUUUUUUAAACGACAAUACGCAGACAAUUUAUUCAUAUGGCUAUUAAUCAUAGUGCCAAUUUUUAAUAUUGUAUAUUUCAUACUGGUAGUACUACGAGUAAAUGUGGAUAAGGUGCAAUGUAGGCCUUUUGGUCUUGACUUUGAGGUACAUCAAAGUUCGCCUGGAAGUGCAUAUCUC